UACGUAGGGUGCAAGCGUUAAUCGGAAUUACUGGGCGUAAAGCGUGCGCAGGCGGUUAUUUAAGACAGGUGUGAAAUCCCAGGGCUUAACCUUGGAACUGCAUUUGUGACUGCAUAGCUAGAGUACGGUAGAGGGGGAUGGAAUUCCGCGUGUAGCAGUGAAAUGCGUAGAUAUGCGGAGGAACACCGAUGGCGAAGGCAAUCCCCUGGACCUGUACUGACGCUCAUGCACGAAAGCGUGGGGAGCAAACAGG
RNAcentral lists this ribosomal RNA (253 nucleotides) under uncultured bacterium. RNAcentral's name for it is "partial 16S ribosomal RNA". It matches the Rfam family "Bacterial small subunit ribosomal RNA", at positions 524 to 776 of the family's 1533-position model. The record is from RNAcentral.